CACUAUGACCAUACCAUCCUGAAUAUACCUGAUCUCUUCUGAUCUCAGAAACUGAGCAGGGUUGGACCUGGCUAGUACUUGGAUGGGAGAAAUACACAUACAGAUACAGAUGAAGACACAGAUA
This is a ribosomal RNA of Chlorocebus sabaeus (green monkey), 124 nucleotides long. The record is from Ensembl. Lineage: Eukaryota; Metazoa; Chordata; Mammalia; Primates; Cercopithecidae.